GACGAACGCUGGCGGCGUGCCUAACACAUGCAAGUCGAACGGGGUAAUGACUUCGGUUGUUACUUAGUGGCGAACGGGUGAGUAACGCGUGAGAAACCUGCCUUUCAGUGGGGGACAACAGUUGGAAACGACUGCUAAUACCGCAUAAUGUAUCGAUGGGGCAUCCUGUUGAUACCAAAGCUUUAUGUGCUGAAAGAUGGUCUCGCGUCUGAUUAGCUAGUUGGUGAGGUAACGGCUCACCAAGGCGACGAUCAGUAGCCGGUCUGAGAGGAUGAACGGCCACAUUGGGACUGAGAUACGGCCCAGACUCCUACGGGAGGCAGCAGUGGGGAAUAUUGGGCAAUGGGGGAAACCCUGACCCAGCAACGCCGCGUGAAGGAAGAAGGG
RNAcentral lists this ribosomal RNA (387 nucleotides) under uncultured bacterium. Its description in RNAcentral is "bacterial SSU rRNA". It matches the Rfam family "Bacterial small subunit ribosomal RNA", at positions 28 to 415 of the family's 1533-position model. The record is from RNAcentral.